Molecule: transfer-messenger RNA, 350 nt
Filed under: Acidobacteriota bacterium
Lineage: Bacteria; Pseudomonadati; Acidobacteriota
Also listed under: 1 other name
Description: Acidobacteria bacterium (groundwater metagenome) transfer-messenger RNA
Rfam family: transfer-messenger RNA
About the family: Bacterial tmRNA, also known as 10Sa RNA or SsrA, is named for its dual tRNA and mRNA-like properties. Its role is to liberate the mRNA from a stalled ribosome.
Source: RNAcentral
GGGGGCGAUACGGCUUCGACGGAGGUAAAGGACCGCGGGAUGCAUGCCGAGCACCACUGACUCGCUAAUCCGGUGGAAACAAACAUAACUGCGGACACGCAGCUCGCUCUCGCUGCCUAAAUAGCAGCGACGCUCACCUCUUCCAGCCUGCGGGUUGGGGCUGAGCGUCAUUCAGCAGGCUGGUCGCCACGGGCUGUCUCGGACCGUGGCGGCGAGACUUUUCGGGGCUGGCGCCCAUCGCUUUCCGUCGCUCUUUGACGCUGGGCGCGAGACAACAAGAGCGGCUACGCAUGUAGAUUCCUACGGCGACGUACUUUCGGACGCGGGUUCGACUCCCGCCGCCUCCACCA